AGCUAGUUGGUGAGGUAAUGGCCCACCAAGGCAACGAUCGGUAGCCGGACUGAGAGGUUGAACGGCCACAUUGGGACUGAGACACGGCCCAGACUCCUACGGGAGGCAGCAGUGGGGAAUAUUGCACAAUGGGGGAAACCCUGAUGCAGCGACGCCGCGUGGAGGAAGAAGGUCUUCGGAUUGUAAACUCCUGUUGUUGAGGAAGAUAAUGACGGUACUCAACAAGGAAGUGACGGCUAACUACGUGCCAGCAGCCGCGGUAAAACGUAGGUCACAAGCGUUGUCCGGAAUUACUGGGUGUAAAGGGAGCGCAGGCGGGAAGACAAGUUGGAAGUGAAAUCUAUGGGCUCAACCCAUAAACUGCUUUCAAAACUGUUUUUCUUGAGUAGUGCAGAGGUAGGCGGAAUUCCCGGUGUAGCGGUGGAAUGCGUAGAUAUCGGGAGGAACACCAGUGGCGAAGGCGGCCUACUGGGCACCAACUGACGCUGAGGCUCGAAAGUGUGGGUAGCAAACAGGAUUAGAUACCCUGGUAGUCCACACCGUAAACGAUGAUUACUAGGUGUUGGAGGAUUGACCCCUUCAGUGCCGCAGUUAACACAAUAAGUAAUCCACCUGGGGAGUACGACCGCAAGGUUGAAACUCAAAGGAAUUGACGGGGGCCCGCACAAGCAGUGGAGUAUGUGGUUUAAUUCGACGCAACGCGAAGAACCUUACCAAGUCUUGACAUACUGCGACGCACAUAGAAAUAUGUGUUUCCUUCGGGACGCAGAGACAGGUGGUGCAUGGUUGUCGUCAGCUCGUGUCGUGAGAUGUUGGGUUAAGUCCCGCAACGAGCGCAACCCUUACUGUCAGUUACUACGCAAGAGGACUCUGGCAGGACUGCCGUUGACAAAACGGAGGAAGGUGGGGAUGACGUCAAAUCAUCAUGCCCUUUAUGACUUGGGCUACACACGUACUACAAUGGCGUUAAACAAAGAGAAGCAAGACCGCGAGGUGGAGCAAAACUCAGAAACAACGUCCCAGUUCGGACUGCAGGCUGCAACUCGCCUGCACGAAGUCGGAAUUGCUAGUAAUCGUGGAUCAGCAUGCCACGGUGAAUACGUUCCCGGGCCUUGUACACACCGCCCGUCACACCAUGAGAGCCGGGGGGACCCGAAGUCGGUAGUCUAACCGCAAGGAGGACGCCGCCGAAGGUAAAACUGGUGAUUGGGGUGAAGUCGUAACAAGGUAA
Molecule: ribosomal RNA, 1231 nt
Filed under: metagenome
Description: bacterial SSU rRNA
Rfam family: Bacterial small subunit ribosomal RNA
Source: RNAcentral